Molecule: unclassified non-coding RNA, 144 nt
Filed under: uncultured Coccomyces
Lineage: Eukaryota; Fungi; Ascomycota; Leotiomycetes; Rhytismatales; Rhytismataceae
Description: sequence contains ITS2
Source: RNAcentral
CAACCCUCACGCCUAGCGUGGUAUUGGGCUCCGCCUGCGAAGGCCGGCCUCAAAAUCAGUGGCGGCACCCGUCUGACUCUAAGCGUAGUAAUACUCGUCGCUUUUGGGCUCAGGCGGCAGCCUGCCAGCAACCCCCACUUUCAA